GCCUACGGGACGCAGCAGUAGGGAAUCUUCCACAAUGGACGAAAGUCUGAUGGAGCAACGCCGCGUGAGUGAAGAAGGGUUUCGGCUCGUAAAGCUCUGUUGGUAGUGAAGAAAGAUAGAGGUAGUAACUGGCCUUUAUUUGACGGUAAUUACUUAGAAAGUCACGGCUAACUACGUGCCAGCAGCCGCGGUAAUACGUAGGUGGCAAGCGUUGUCCGGAUUUACUGGGUGUAAAGGGCGUGUAGGCGGGGAAGCAAGUCAGGUGUGAAAACCACGGGGUCCACCUGUGGCCUGCCUUUGAAACU
RNAcentral lists this ribosomal RNA (305 nucleotides) under uncultured bacterium. RNAcentral describes it as "bacterial SSU rRNA". It matches the Rfam family "Bacterial small subunit ribosomal RNA", at positions 337 to 634 of the family's 1533-position model. The record is from RNAcentral.